Molecule: long non-coding RNA, 1553 nt
Filed under: Homo sapiens (human)
Lineage: Eukaryota; Metazoa; Chordata; Mammalia; Primates; Hominidae
Description: HSALNT0391250
Source: RNAcentral
UCUCAACAAAAAAAAACAACAACAAAAACAACAACAACAACAACAACAACAAAAAGAAUGGUCUAGAAGAAAGAAGACUGGAAUGAUGAAGCAGAAGAGAAGGGAGGCUUACAUAACAUCUUGCGGUAAUGAAAGGGGAUGGAAUCUGGUAUAGGAUCCAGAUCCAGGACUUGAGCAUAGCAGAUUUUGGCAUCUGCGGGUUGUCCUGAAACCAGUGCCCCACAGAUAUGGAGAGCUGACUGCAUUCCAAGUGAAGUUCAUGAGGAUUCCUAGAGCAGAAAAGAAGACAGCAAGCUUAGAGGAUGGAGUCUCGCUCUGUUGCCCAUGCUGGAGUGCAAUGGCACGAUCUUGGCUCACUGCAACCUCUGCCUCCCAGGUUCAAGUGAUUCUCCUGCCUCAGCCUCCUGAACAGCUGCGAUUACCGGCGCGCACCACCAUGCCCAGGGACAAGGUCUUGCUAUGUUGCCCGGCCUGGUCUCAAACUCCUGGGCUUAAGCAACCCUCCCCAGUCCUGCCACCAUAGCCUCCCAAAGCCCUGGGAUUACAGGUGUAAGCUGCAAGAACUUCUUGAAAGGCAAUUCAACAUAGUGUUUAAAAGCAUGCAGGAGUCCUGGGUUCAAAUCUCCAUUCCAGCUCUAUCCAGGCCUCUGAGCCCAAGCUAAGCCAUCAUAUCCCCUGUGACCUGCACAUAUACAUCCAGAUGGCCUGAAGCAACUGAAGAUCCACAAAAGAAGUGAAAAUUGCCAGUUCCUGCCUUAACUGAUGACAUUCCAGCAUUGUGAUUUGUUCCUGCCCCACUCUAACUGAUCAAUUAACUUUGUGACAAUACACCCUCCCCACCCUUGAGAAGGCACUUUGUAAUAUCCUACCCCAACCCACUGCCCUUAAGAAGGUACUUUGUAAUAUUCUCCCCACCCUUGAGAAUGUACUUUGUAAGAUCCACCCGCUGCCCACAAAAAAAUUGCUCCUAACUCCACUGCCUAUCCCAAACCUAUAAGAACUAAUGAUAAUCCCACCACCCUUUGCUGACACUCUUUUUGGACUCCGGCUGCCUGCACCCAGGUGAUUAAAAAGCUUUAUUGCUCACACAAAGCCUGUUUGGUCGUCUCUUCACACGGACACACAUGACAUUUGGUGCCGAAGAGCUGGGACAGGAGGACUCCUUCAGGAGACCAGUUCCCUUGUCCUCGCCCUCACUCCAUGAGGAGAUCCACCUAUGACCUCGGGUCCUCAGACCAACCAGCCCAAGGAACAUCUCACCAAUUUCAAAUCAGCCAAAAUCCACAGUGAUCCACAUAAUACUCAGGAAUCACCCAGAAGGGAUUUCUAUCUGAAAGGAGAAAGAAGCUCUGGGGCAUGAAUAUACGUUGUCUUGUAAAAAAAUAAAUCAGUAAUUCAUGUGUGUAUAUUUUAUACUCAAUGGGAAAAAAUGUUUUAUUUAAAAAAACACUCAAUAUUUUACAUGACAUUGUGAAAAGGCAGCACGGAAUUACUCAUUUGCUUCCUUUUUUAAAGUUUUAGAUGAAAAAUAAACAUUUAAUCCCAUCACUUGU